Molecule: ribosomal RNA, 463 nt
Filed under: Escherichia coli
Lineage: Bacteria; Pseudomonadati; Pseudomonadota; Gammaproteobacteria; Enterobacterales; Enterobacteriaceae
Description: bacterial SSU rRNA
Rfam family: Bacterial small subunit ribosomal RNA
Source: RNAcentral
CCUACGGGUGGCAGCAGUGGGGAAUCUUGCGCAAUGGGCGAAAGCCUGACGCAGCGACGCCGCGUGAGGGAAGAAGGCCUUCGGGUUGUAAACCUCUUUCAGGAGGGACGAAGCCACUCGGGUGAACAGCCGGGGGUGACGGUACCUCCAGAAGAAGCCCCGGCUAACUACGUGCCAGCAGCCGCGGUAAUACGUAGGGGGCAAGCGUUGUCCGGAUUGAUUGGGCGUAAAGCGCGUGUAGGCGGCUCGGUAAGUCCGCUGUAAAAGUCCAGGGCUCAACCCUGGAAUGCCGGUGGAAACUGUCGAGCUAGAGUCCGGAAGAGGAGAGUGGAAUUCCUGGUGUAGCGGUGAAAUGCGCAGAUAUCAGGAGGAACACCCAUGGCGAAGGCAGCUCUCUGGGACGGUACUGACGCUGAGACGCGAAAGCGUGGGGAGCGAACAGGAUUAGAUACCCGAGUAGUCC